AGGCUUGGACUAUGAGUGAAGCAGCCAUGGGAACUGAAUGUCCAGUUAGUGACAUGGAUAGGACAAAAGAGUCACAUAUGUAACCUGUUAAAGCCAAAGAAAAGGAAUGGUGCCUCUGGACCACUGCAAUCCUUGAAUAGUUUUAAAUCGCUACACUGCAAAGAAGAAAUGUUAAAGCCAGAACAUUGCUAUAUCUGGCUGAUCCCUGGAUUUAUUUAGUUUCAGUAACUGAAUGCUCCCCUGGAAUUGUGGAAUAUUGGGAGAAAGAAGGAAGUGAUACCUCUUACACCUGAGUCCUGCUCUCUUUGGCCAUGCUCCAGUUUCUCAUCAGCAGAAACUCAAAGCCCCAGCACCAACGUGAUAGAUUAUCUGUUGAAAAAAUGUCAGAAAAUGGGAAAACUGAAGAGUUGAUGCCUCAGAUAUUAACAGAACAGAAGUGAAAUCUGAACAUUCUCUCACCUGAGCAUCAGUCUGCCUUGAUGUAGGAGAUGAACUGCAAUUUGGAUCCAAGAGCAGAAGAGUUUAUAUUAAUUAAGAACUAAGAAGCUUCUGCUGGCUUUAUUACUACCAAUUAAAAACUAAAUAUCCUUUUGAACAACAAUGAGAGUUCAUUAAUGGAAUAACAGUGUGGCCCAUGCGCCUGGAUAUUCUGAUACAGCUGAAAAAUGGAAGAAUAAGGGCUAAGAACAACUGAC
This is a long non-coding RNA of Agelaius phoeniceus (red-winged blackbird), 695 nucleotides long. RefSeq lists it as uncharacterized. The record is from RefSeq and is a predicted model, not a curated record. NCBI's taxonomy places the organism in Eukaryota, Metazoa, Chordata, Aves, Passeriformes, Icteridae.